RNAcentral lists this ribosomal RNA (752 nucleotides) under uncultured bacterium. RNAcentral describes it as "bacterial SSU rRNA". It matches the Rfam family "Bacterial small subunit ribosomal RNA", at positions 8 to 796 of the family's 1533-position model. The record is from RNAcentral.
AGAGUUUGAUCCUGGCUCAGAACGAACGCUGGCGGCAUGCCUAACACAUGCAAGUCGAACGAGGUUUCCGCUUCGGUGGUUGCCUAGUGGCGCACGGGUGAGUAACGCGUGGGAACCUGCCCUGUGGUACGGAAUAACUCCGGGAAACUGGAGCUAAUACCGUAUGUGUCCUUUGGGACAAAGAUUUAUCGCCAUGGGAUGGGCCCGCGUAGGAUUAGCUUGUUGGUGGGGUAACGGCCUACCAAGGCUUCGAUCCUUAGCUGGUCUGAGAGGAUGAUCAGCCACACUGGGACUGAGACACGGCCCAGACUCCUACGGGAGGCAGCAGUGGGGAAUAUUGGACAAUGGGCGCAAGCCUGAUCCAGCAAUGCCGCGUGAGUGAUGAAGGCCUUCGGGUUGUAAAGCUCUUUCGCACGCGACGAUGAUGACGGUAGCGUGAGAAGAAGCCCCGGCUAACUUCGUGCCAGCAGCCGCGGUAAUACGAAGGGGGCUAGCGUUGUUCGGAAUUACUGGGCGUAAAGGGCGCGUAGGCGGUACUUCAAGUCAGGCGUGAAAGCCCCGGGCUCAACCUGGGAACCGCGCUUGAGACUGGAGAACUAGAGUUCGGGAGAGGAUGGUGGAAUUCCCAGUGUAGAGGUGAAAUUCGUAGAUAUUGGGAAGAACACCGAUGGCGAAGGCAGCCAUCUGGACCGACACUGACGCUGAGGCGCGAAAGCGUGGGGAGCAAACAGGAUUAGAUACCCUAGUAGUCC